This 301-nucleotide ribosomal RNA is filed under the name uncultured bacterium. Its description in RNAcentral is "partial 16S ribosomal RNA". It matches the Rfam family "Bacterial small subunit ribosomal RNA", at positions 509 to 807 of the family's 1533-position model. The record is from RNAcentral.
CAGUAGCCGCGGUAAUACGAAGGGGGCUAGCGUUGCUCGGAAUGACUGGGCGUAAAGGGCGCGUAGGCGGUUUUGACAGUCAGAUGUGGAAUUCCUGGGCUUAACCUGGGGGCUGCAUUUGAGACGUCAAGACUAGAGUGUGAGAGAGGGUUGUGGAAUUCCCAGUGUAGAGGUGAAAUUCGUAGAUAUUGGGAAGAACACCGGUGGCGAAGGCGGCCAUCUGGGACAACACUGACGCUGAGGCACGAAAGCGUGGGGAGCAAACAGGAUUAGAUACCCCCGUAGUCCCUGUCUCUUAUAC